UCUCGCUUUAGAAGCGUCCAGUCAAAUGUCUUGUCAUGUCUUGUUCUGAGCUGUACGGACAGCCAUGCUGCGCAAUGAUCCAUUAUAGCAGAGUAGGACUUGUAAGGAUGUGAGGUUAGGGAGAGGAUUCUGACUGUAGGAUUCUCGGGCAUCCAUCUUUGCAGUUUUUGGAAUAAAUCAUUCUGUUUGCAUCUUCUUCCUCCAGGGUUCUCUGAGCCUCAUCAGCUCGCCAUCAGUUUCAACUCUUCUUCUUUUGCAUUCUCUCAGUCCUUGCAGCCAUUUUCCUUGAUAAGAGAUUUCCGUUCCUGUUGUGUCCCCAGUGUUUGUCACGUCUUGUCUGUCCUGUGUCACGGGUGUCUGCACACAUUUGUGCUGGAGCUGCUGUUCUGCCCUGCUGCAUAUCCUGGUGCAAUAUGAGAAGUCUCAGGGACUUGGAAUUUGUAAUGUGUAGUUGGAUUCUAGAUGGGAUUUGUAGAUGGACACAGGAUACGUGGAGCCCAUAAGUUAUCCUGCAGCCCUUUCACUUUCAUCCUAACUUUCUUUUAGUUGCAGAAGGAUAAAUCCAGGGCAGAGCCCCCCAUUCUGGGUGAGGGGAUUCCCCCGUGAAGGUCAGUCACUGUUUGUCUCUACAGAGGAAGCAUAAAUUGUGGCUGCUGCAGCUCUGCUCUUUGUCUUUAUUUUUAGGAAGUCAAGGCAGAGAGCAGCUGUCAAGGCUGAGUGGGCAAGAUGGACUGCUUGCCAUCUAUCCUAGCCCAGCAUGCCCAUGCCAGGUGCUGUCGCUGCCCUAGGCAUGCCGGGGAAGAGAGGAGGGCAGGUAUCUUCCGGGCGGCCUCUGGAGUCAAAUCAAGACUUGAGGUACCCUGGGCAGGCUUGUAGCCACAGCUUGGAAGCGGCAGCACCGAAGCGCACACAUUGAGAACGUCUCAACGUCCACGUCCGACCGAGGAUGGAUUUUGUCUGCUUGUCUUCCAAAAGCUAAGUGUCGGGGCCAGUGGUUGGGAGAAGGGGAAAAGCCUUUACUAUCACAGGAGGCAAUCUGAUGUCAGCUUAGCGGAGAGGUCUGUAGUGGGACAGGCUCCCUGGAAGUAAAGGGAGAGGGUUUCUCCUCAGCCUCACCAGAGCCUUUGCCAGGCAGGGCAGUUCCUACCCAUCUCCACAUUCUCGUGAACUUUGCGUCAUCUGCCUUCCUCGACUUGAAGUUGUCACGGCUCUUUCCCCCGUGGAGCUUGCCUUCAGGUCCGGAGCUGUAGCCGCAGUCACCUGGCAGUCCGCUUCCUUCUCUAGGCUUGCUGAGCCUCUCGAGCAUCCUCCUAACUGCUUUGGCCCUAACUUCCUUUAAUGAGUUGCAUUUAAUCAUCACGUGCUGUUGUCAUAGGGCUUCCUUUCCCUUGGCCUCAUUGGCCUCUGGCUCGUCUUGUGCUAGGACUCUCGGGUCCCUAAAGGGAAAGUGCCAAGCAGUUGCAACUUGUCUCUGUGUUAUGUCAUCUGUGUCUAUGUUAUGGUGUGUGUGUCCAUUGUCUUCCACGGCAUAGGCCUUUGUUACAUCUCAAUGCUUUAUCGGCUCUCUUCUGUGCCAUGUUCUACUCACAUUCCUUGCCGGA
Molecule: long non-coding RNA, 1601 nt
Organism: Melospiza melodia melodia
Lineage: Eukaryota; Metazoa; Chordata; Aves; Passeriformes; Passerellidae
Exons: 5
Source: RefSeq, a predicted model, not a curated record